AAAUUCUCGUAGUCGAAGCUGAAAGGUUGAUCGACCACAUUGGGUCUGAAAAAACCCCAAUGCAAGUUAGUACAGCAGUGAGGAAUCUUGGUCAAUGGCCUAACGGCUGAACUGGCAACUUGGAGAAGUGGCAAGUCUUAUUUUUGAUUAUAAUUUUAGAUAAUCUAUAAGAUUGUAUUAAAAUUGAAUAAAGCUUUGUUUAUAUAUUGAUAAUGACAAUAUAUAUAUCGUGUCUUGACUAAUUACGUGCCAGCAGUCGCGGUAAUACGUAAGAGACUAGUGUUAUUCAUCUUAAUUAGGUUUAAAGGGUACCUAGACGGUCAAUAUAGCUUCUAGAAUGUUAGUACUUGACUAGAGUUUGAUGUAAGGGGGCAGUACUUGAGGAGGAGAGAUGAAAUUCUAUUAUACCAAAGGGACUCGGUAAAGGCGAAGGCAGCCCUUUAUGUAAAAACUGACGUUGAAGGACGAAGGCACAGAGCACAAACAGGAUUAGAUACCCAAGUAGUCUUUGCAGUAAAUGAUGAAUGCCAUAGGUUUAGAUUA
Molecule: ribosomal RNA, 543 nt
Filed under: Moelleriella libera
Lineage: Eukaryota; Fungi; Ascomycota; Sordariomycetes; Hypocreales; Clavicipitaceae
Description: SSU rRNA
Rfam family: Bacterial small subunit ribosomal RNA
Source: RNAcentral